GACCUGCGGAAGGAUCAUUAUAGUAUCUUGCUGGCAAGCGCUUUCACUAGCGCGGCCACAACCUUUACACACGUGUGAAUUAUGUAUUUGCUUUGGUCUCUCUACUUUUUUUUUUAAGUAAGAGGCCAGCUUUUAAACUCAGAUUUUGUAUCUUUUUUAAAACCACAGUCAAGAAGUUUUAUGAACUAUAAUCUUCAAAACUUUCAACAACGGAUCUCUUGGUUCUCGCAACGAUGAAGAACGCAGCGAAAUGCGAUACGUAAUGUGAAUUGCAGGUUUUCGUGAAUCAUCGAAUCUUUGAACGCACAUUGCACCCUCUGGCAUUCCAGAGGGUAUGCCUGUUUGAGCGUCAUUUCUCUCUCAAUCGUCAAGAUUGGUAUUGAGUGAUACUCUGCUUGCAGUGUUAACUUGAAAUAGUGUUUUUACGCGGACUUGCUUUUUUGUGGCCGCUCUCUGUUUGAGAUAAUGUAUUAGGUUCUACCAACUCGUUAUAGCAGCAUGAGUGUGACUAAGCUGGGCUGCCCGAACAACCUAACCUAAAGUUUGACCUCAAAUCAGGUAGGACUACCCGCUGAACUUAAGCAUAUCAAUAAGCGGAGGAAAAGAAACCAACAGGGAUUGCCUCAGUAACGGCGAGUGAAGCGGCAAAAGCUCAAAUUUGAAAUCUGGCACUUUCAGUGUCCGAGUUGUAAUUUGAAGAUGGAUUUCUGGAGUUGGCCCCUGUCUAUGUUCCUUGGAACAGGACGUCACAGAGGGUGAGAAUCCCGUCUGGCGGGGUGGUCCAGCUCCAUGUAGAUUUCCUUCGAAGAGUCGAGUUGUUUGGGAAUGCAGCUCUAAGUGGGAGGUAAAUUCCUUCUAAAGCUAAAUAUUGGCGAGAGACCGAUAGCGAACAAGUACAGUGAUGGAAAGAUGAAAAGAACUUUGAAAAGAGAGUGAAAAAGUACGUGAAAUUGUUGAAAGGGAAGGGUAUUAGAUCAGACUUGGUGUUUUGUGAUUAUCAUUCCCUCGUGGGAUGUGCACUCGCAUUGCGCUGGGCCAGCAUCGGUUCGAGUGGCAAGAUAAUGACUUGGGAACGUGGCUCUGCUUCGGGAGAGUGUUAUAGCCCACAGUUGAUGUUGCCUACUUGGACCGAGGACUGCGGCUUUAUUGCCUAGGAUGCUCGCGUAAUGAUCUCAUACCGCCCGUCUCGA
Molecule: ribosomal RNA, 1190 nt
Filed under: Williopsis galapagoensis
Lineage: Eukaryota; Fungi; Ascomycota; Saccharomycetes; Phaffomycetales; Wickerhamomycetaceae
Description: eukaryotic LSU rRNA
Rfam family: Eukaryotic large subunit ribosomal RNA (bases 545-1190)
Source: RNAcentral